GCCCCUGUUGUCUAAUGGUUAUGACGUCAGACUUCUACCAUCAGGUUAUCUGGAGGUUGCGGGUUCGAGUCCCGCCAGGGGUU
Molecule: non-coding RNA, 83 nt
Organism: Tricholoma furcatifolium
Lineage: Eukaryota; Fungi; Basidiomycota; Agaricomycetes; Agaricales; Tricholomataceae
Source: the annotation of a GenBank genome assembly